Long non-coding RNA from Patella vulgata (common limpet), 712 nucleotides. RefSeq lists it as uncharacterized. The record is from RefSeq and is a predicted model, not a curated record. Lineage: Eukaryota; Metazoa; Mollusca; Gastropoda; Patellidae. The transcript is spliced from 3 exons.
CGCCAUUUUGCGCUCGUACCCAGAAUUCCCGAAUUCAAAAUGGCGGAUUUCUAAACAUGUUAUUGGGGAAACACCGUUCAACUUCUAUAGAAGUGGAUUUUAGCUUCCCUUAAGCCAGCAUAAUUCAAAAUGGGAGUUUCAGAAACAUCGAUUGAUCCUUUAAAAAAAAUAUAAGGUUUAACAAAUGGGUAGAAAAUUCAAAAAAAUAAAGGGCGAUCAAUCUGAAUGGCUGGAAUCGGAUAGACAUCAGGUAUGCAAAAAUCUUGUAGUUAGAUAACAGACAUAGAAACAUCUCAUCUCUGAUGCCCAACGGUACUACUAUCUGGUCAUCAACGCUAGAAACUACAAACCCCAAUCAUUAUAAAUGGAAUAUGCAGAAGGGAAAUUAAAGGACAUAUAUGAUGCCAAACAAAGGUUUGCUGCUGAUCAGAAAUAACUAGAUGGCCCUGUAUUCAGAAUACAUGUACAGUUUUUAAAAUUACCCGGCAUAUCCACAAUAUGUAAUCUAGUGGAUAUGAAUUUAUUGACCAGCAACAACAUUAAAAUCAAUUUAUUACUAAAAACAAUGAACAAGAUGAUGUGCAAUUCUUUAAGAUAAAAUAAUAUAUCUGUAAUGAAAUUUAAUCUAAUUUAUAUGACCUGGUUGUUAAGACACUAAUCUCUAAUUGUUUUAAGUUUAAUUAGUUACCCAAUAAAAGAUCAUUAAAAUGUU